Pelobates cultripes (western spadefoot toad) is the source of this 355-nucleotide non-coding RNA. The record is from the annotation of a GenBank genome assembly. Lineage: Eukaryota; Metazoa; Chordata; Amphibia; Anura; Pelobatidae.
CCUCUCUCUGUUAUUAUGUACAACAUUUUGCACACUUGAUUGUCAAUUCACUGUAGCCAUCCCCCUCAUGAUACUAAUCCAAUUAGAAGCUAAAAAAAAAUGGGGUGAAAAUUAUUACUUGAUACAUUAAUGGUGAGAGAGAGGCUUUCAAGACUUUUUUCCCCACACCAUUUUCAUUGCAAAAUAACUAUUUUUACAGUGUUAUGUUAUAGUAAUAAUCUAUUUAAGUCCCUGCAAUGAAAUGCUUGUUUGCAUUUUUUUUUUUUGAGGUGAUGUUUUUGUGACAUUUGGCCUUUAAAGUUAAAAUAUGAUCCAAACUGUUAUCUUUCUCUAUUUAUCCUCCUGCCUUCUAUAC